UACGGAGGAUGCAAGCGUUAUCCGGAAUGAUUGGGCGUAAAGCGUCCGCAGGUGGCUGUGUAAGUCUGCUGUCAAAGAGCAAAGCUCAACUUUGUAAAGGCAGUGGAAACUACACGGCUAGAGUGCGUUCGGGGCAGAGGGAAUUCCUGGUGUAGCGGUGAAAUGCGUAGAGAUCAGGAAGAACACCUAUGGCGAAAGCAGCUCUCUGGGACGGUACUGACGCUGAGACGCGAAAGCGUGGGGAGCGAACAGG
Molecule: ribosomal RNA, 253 nt
Filed under: uncultured bacterium
Lineage: Bacteria
Description: partial 16S ribosomal RNA
Rfam family: Bacterial small subunit ribosomal RNA
Source: RNAcentral